GCAAUGUAUAGCAUAGAGUACAAUGGAGGCAGUGCUAUCUCCACCUCUUCUUCAGGCACAGCACUUGCAGGCAGAGGACAUAAAGAAGAGGGAAUGCCAGCAACCAUGCUGUCAACUUUGCAAGUCAUUAACAAUCUGGAAAGAGACUGAGACAUACUGUCAACUUAAGCAGAAUAUCUCAGAGUGGCUCAGAGAUGGUCAAAAAUGAAAAAAUUUUGGGUGCAACUCCCCAAUCCUCCCUUCUGAGAAGCAGUGAGUCCUGGCAGCACAAAGAACUGAAUUAUGAACUGAGAUUAAAGGCACAAGACUGGAAGCAGGCAAGUAAUGUGACUGCAGGGUUUGAAGGCACGUGCUGAAACACAGAAAUGGACAGAGAAAUAUUCUAAGGUAAACCCCUUCUGAUCCUGAAGUGAAGGUACAGCACUAAUUGAGUGUAACUGUCAUGAACUAGGAAAACAUGGAAAUCUGUCCCUUUGUUUUGCUCCUUCCUUGAUGCUGGUGUCAUCACUCUGGCAGCCUGGUUAAAGUUUCUCAGGAGGAAACAAAAUGAGAACAAAGACAAAUUUCUAAACUGAUUGUGCACCUGGAGCUGUACACUUUGCAAAUGAGCUUUUCCACGUGAGAGACAUGGCAAAAUACACAAUUAAGAUUUUUUUCUUACCCAUCUUCCCACCAUUAUUUGUCUAUUGAUGAUAUCAUGGGUAGAAAUGCUGGGGCUGGCCAAGUAUUCAGUAUUGGAUGGAUUGCUGCUUUCCUCCUACGUCACUUUUUGGUAGCAGUUUGAAGUCCACAAUCACACUGUGCCAUAACAACAAAUGCUUCAAGGACGACAUUUCCAAAAACACCUUUCUUCCAAGAAUCUCUGAGUGCUUUUCAACAUGAAUUACCAGCCCAUCUCUUGGUGAUAAGUAGGUGUUAUUUCAGUCUUCAAACUGAGAAACUGCUGCCUAAAGUAACUGUGAAUCAUCUAUUUCCUGGAGUUUUCUUUUUCCUGUUUUCCAUACCCUUUCCCUUUUGUCUCCUGGGCCAUUCUUAACCGCAAUUUCCUCUCCCGUCUGUCUAUAAUAAUCCCCUCGAUGCAACCUGAUGUUGUACCUAAACUUUAAAACUCUCCCCCCCCUGCCCCCUGCAUGCAACUUGGGCGUGUGUGUGCUGUGCAUAAGUGCUCUCCUCAUUCAGGUAGAAGCAUCAAUUGAGCUGUAUUUAUG
Molecule: long non-coding RNA, 1208 nt
Filed under: Junco hyemalis (dark-eyed junco)
Lineage: Eukaryota; Metazoa; Chordata; Aves; Passeriformes; Passerellidae
Description: lncRNA (ENSJHYG00000000250.1)
Source: RNAcentral